Molecule: ribosomal RNA, 497 nt
Filed under: uncultured bacterium
Lineage: Bacteria
Description: partial 16S ribosomal RNA
Rfam family: Bacterial small subunit ribosomal RNA
Source: RNAcentral
GAUGAACGCUGGCGGCGUGCCUAAUACAUGCAAGUCGAGCGAACGGACGAGAAGCUUGCUUCUCUGAUGUUAGCGGCGGACGGGUGAGUAACACGUGGAUAACCUACCUAUAAGACUGGGAUAACUUCGGGAAACCGGAGCUAAUACCGGAUAAUAUUUUGAACCGCAUGGUUCAAAAGUAAAAGACGGUCUUGCUGUCACUUAUAGAUGGAUCCGUGCUGCAUUAGCUAGUUGGUAAGGUAACGGCUUACCAAGGCAACGAUGCAUAGCCGACCUGAGAGGGUGAUCGGCCACACUGGAACUGAGACACGGUCCAGACUCCUACGGGAGGCAGCAGUAGGGAAUAUUCCACAAUGGGCGAAAGCCUGACGGAGCAACACCGCGUGAGUGAUGAAGGUCUUCGGGUCGUAAAGCUCUGUUAUUAGGAAAGAACAUAUGUGUAAGUAUCUGUGCACAUCUUGACGGUACCUAAUGAGAAAGCCACGGCUAACUACGUG